AUCUAUGCCCAUACCUCCCUGAACAUGCCCUAUCUCAUCUGAUCCCGGAAGCCAAGCAGGUUUGGGCCUGAUUAGUACUUUGAUGGGAGAAUUCUACACAGUUAUAUCUU
This is a ribosomal RNA of Cavia porcellus (domestic guinea pig), 110 nucleotides long. NCBI's taxonomy places the organism in Eukaryota, Metazoa, Chordata, Mammalia, Rodentia, Caviidae. The record is from Ensembl.